RNAcentral lists this ribosomal RNA (425 nucleotides) under uncultured cyanobacterium. Its description in RNAcentral is "bacterial SSU rRNA". It matches the Rfam family "Bacterial small subunit ribosomal RNA", at positions 355 to 795 of the family's 1533-position model. The record is from RNAcentral. Lineage: Bacteria; Bacillati; Cyanobacteriota.
UGGGGAAUCUUCCGCAAUGGGCGAAAGCCUGACGGAGCAACGCCGCGUGAGGGACGAAGGCCUCUGGGCUGUAAACCUCUUUUCUCAAGGAAGAAGAUAUGACGGUACUUGAGGAAUAAGCCACGGCUAAUUCCGUGCCAGCAGCCGCGGUAAUACGGGAGUGGCAAGCGUUAUCCGGAAUUAUUGGGCGUAAAGCGUCCGCAGGCGGCUUUUCAAGUCUGCUGUUAAAACGUGGAGCUUAACUCCAUCAUGGCAGUGGAAACUGAAAGGCUUGAGUAUGGUAGGGGCAGAGGGAAUUCCCGGUGUAGCGGUGAAAUGCGUAGAUAUCGGGAAGAACACCAGUGGCGAAGGCGCUCUGCUGGGCCAUUACUGACGCUCAUGGACGAAAGCCAGGGGAGCGAAAGGGAUUAGAUACCCCUGUAGUC